CAAUAGCGUAUAUUUAAGUUGUUGCAGUUAAAAAGCUCGUAGUUGGAUUUCGGGUGGGGCCUGCCGGUCCGUCGAUGCGAUGUGCACUGGCCGGUCCUAUCUUGUUGUCGGGUACUAGCUCCUGGGCUUCGCUGUCCGGGACUAGGAGCUGACGAGGUUACUUUGAGUAAAUUAGAGUGUUCAAAGCAAGCCUACGCUCUGAAUACAUUAGCAUGGAAUAACACGAUAGGACUCUGGCUUAUCUUGUUGGUCUGUGAGACCAGAGUAAUGAUUAAGAGGGACAGUCGGGGACAUUCGUAUUUCAUUGUCAGAGGUGAAAUUCUUGGAUUUAUGAAAGACGAACUUCUGCGAAAGCAUUUGUCAAGGAUGUUUUCAUUAAC
Molecule: ribosomal RNA, 380 nt
Filed under: uncultured eukaryote
Lineage: Eukaryota
Description: partial 18S ribosomal RNA
Rfam family: Eukaryotic small subunit ribosomal RNA
Source: RNAcentral